This 1013-nucleotide ribosomal RNA is filed under the name Bacteroides ovatus. RNAcentral describes it as "partial 23S ribosomal RNA". It matches the Rfam family "Bacterial large subunit ribosomal RNA", at positions 1923 to 2925 of the family's 2925-position model. The record is from RNAcentral. Lineage: Bacteria; Pseudomonadati; Bacteroidota; Bacteroidia; Bacteroidales; Bacteroidaceae.
GUAAACGGCGGCCGUAACUAUAACGGUCCUAAGGUAGCGAAAUUCCUUGUCGGGUAAGUUCCGACCUGCACGAAUGGCAUAACGAUGGCCACACUGUCUCCUCCCGAGACUCAGUGAAGUUGAAAUGUUUGUGAUGAUGCAAUCUACCCGCGGCUAGACGGAAAGACCCCAUGAACCUUUACUGCAGCUUUGCAUUGAACUGUGAACCGAUUUGUGUAGGAUAGGUGGGAGGCAGAGAAGAGGCCACGCCAGUGGUCUUGGAGCCGACCUUGAAAUACCACCCUGAUUUGUUUGCGGUUCUAACCACGGACAGUGAUCCUGUCUUGGGACCGUGCAUGGUAGGCAGUUUGACUGGGGCGGUCUCCUCCUAAAGGGUAACGGAGGAGUACGAAGGUACGCUAGGUACGGUCGGAAAUCGUGCUGAUAGUGCAAUGGCAAAAGCGUGCUUGACUGCGAGAGCAACAACUCGAGCAGAUGCGAAAGCAGGUCAUAGUGAUCCGGUGGCUCUGAAUGGAAGGGCCAUCGCUCAACGGAUAAAAGGUACUCUGGGGAUAACAGGCUGAUACCGCCCAAGAGUUCAUAUCGACGGCGGUGUUUGGCACCUCGAUGUCGGCUCAUCUCAUCCUGGGGCUGUAGUCGGUCCCAAGGGUAUGGCUGUUCGCCAUUUAAAGAGGUACGUGAGCUGGGUUUAAAACGUCGUGAGACAGUUUGGUCCCUAUCUGCCGUGGGCGUUGGAAGAUUGACGGGGGCUGCUCCUAGUACGAGAGGACCGGAGUGGACGCACCUCUGGUGUACCGGUUGUCACGCCAGUGGCAUUGCCGGGUAGCUAAGUGCGGAAGAGAUAACCGCUGAAAGCAUCUAAGCGGGAAACUUGCCUGAAGAUGAGUCUUCCCGGAGGUUGAACCUCCCUCAAGAGUCGUCCGAGACCAGGACGUCGAUAGGUCAGGUGUGUAAGCGCUGUAAGGCGUUGAGCUAACUGAUACUAAUUGCUCGUGAGGCUUGAUCCUAUAACC